AUUAUUGGGUUGGCCAGACAGUUUGUUCAAAUUUUUCAUAAGAUGGUAUAGAAAAACCUGAAUGAACUUUUUGGCCAAAUCAAUAUA
Molecule: microRNA precursor, 87 nt
Filed under: Ovis aries (sheep)
Lineage: Eukaryota; Metazoa; Chordata; Mammalia; Artiodactyla; Bovidae
Description: miRNA (ENSOARG00000022605.1)
Source: RNAcentral